UACGAAGGGGGCUAGCGUUGCUCGGAAUCACUGGGCGUAAAGCGCACGUAGGCGGACUCUUAAGUCGGUGGUGAAAUCCUGGAGCUCAACUCCAGAACUGCCUUCGAUACUGGGAGUCCCGAGUCCGGGAGAGGUGAGUGGAACUGCGAGUGUAGAGGUGAAAUUCGUAGAUAUUCGCAAGAACACCAGUGGCGAAGGCGGCUCACUGGCCCGGUACUGACGCUGAGGUGCGAAAGCGUGGGGAGCAAACAGG
This 253-nucleotide ribosomal RNA is filed under the name uncultured bacterium. RNAcentral's name for it is "partial 16S ribosomal RNA". It matches the Rfam family "Bacterial small subunit ribosomal RNA", at positions 524 to 776 of the family's 1533-position model. The record is from RNAcentral.